Molecule: ribosomal RNA, 440 nt
Filed under: uncultured bacterium
Lineage: Bacteria
Description: partial 16S ribosomal RNA
Rfam family: Bacterial small subunit ribosomal RNA
Source: RNAcentral
CCUACGGGCGGCAGCAGUGAGGGAUAUUGGUCAAUGGGGGAAACCCUGAACCAGCAACGCCGCGUGAGGGAAGACGGUUUUCGGAUUGUAAACCUCUGUCCUCUGUGAAGAUAAUGACGGUAGCAGAGGAGGAAGCUCCGGCUAACUACGUGCCAGCAGCCGCGGUAAUACGUAGGGAGCAAGCGUUGACCGGAUUUACUGGGUGUAAAGGGUGCGUAGGCGGCUUUGCAAAUCAGAAGUGAAAUCCAUGGGCUUAACCCAUGAACUGCUUUUGAAACUGCAGAGAUCGAGUGGAGUAGAGGUAGGCGGAAUUCCCGGUGUAGCGGUGAAAUGCGUAGAGAUCGGGAGGAACACCAGUGGCGAAGGCGGCCUACUGGGCUCUAACUGACGCUGAGGCACGAAAGCGUGGGUAGCAAACAGGAUUAGAUACCCUAGUAGUC